This 378-nucleotide unclassified non-coding RNA is filed under the name plant metagenome. RNAcentral describes it as "partial contains 5.8S ribosomal RNA, internal transcribed spacer 2, and large subunit ribosomal RNA". The stretch from base 1 to 105 matches the Rfam family "5.8S ribosomal RNA", at positions 50 to 154 of the family's 154-position model. The record is from RNAcentral.
GAAAUGCGAUAAGUAAUGUGAAUUGCAGAAUUCAGUGAAUCAUCGAAUCUUUGAACGCACCUUGCGCUCCUUGGUAUUCCUUGGAGCAUGCCUGUUUGAGUAUCAUGAAAUCUUCAAAGUAAAUCUUUUGUUAACUCAAUUGGUUUCUACUUUGGUAUUGGAGGUCUUUGCAGCUUCACACCUGCUCCUCUUUGUUCAUUAGCUGGAUCUCAGUGUUAUGCUUGGUUCCACUCGGCGUGAUAAGUUAUCUAUCACUGAGGACACUGUAAAAGGUGGCCAAGGUAAAUGCAGAUGAACCGCUUCUAAUAGUCCAUUGACUUGGACAAUACUUUUAUGAUCUGAUCUCAAAUCAGGUAGGACUACCCACUGAACUUAAGC